RNAcentral lists this transfer RNA (67 nucleotides) under marine eukaryotic metagenome. It matches the Rfam family "tRNA", at positions 5 to 66 of the family's 71-position model. From Rfam's summary of the family: Transfer RNA (tRNA) molecules are approximately 80 nucleotides in length. The record is from RNAcentral.
UCUAUAGCUCAAAUGGAUAAGAGCGUCAGCCUCCGGAGCUGAAGAUAUAGGUUCAAAUCCUAUUAGG